This 912-nucleotide ribosomal RNA is filed under the name uncultured bacterium. Its description in RNAcentral is "partial 16S small subunit ribosomal RNA". It matches the Rfam family "Bacterial small subunit ribosomal RNA", at positions 56 to 965 of the family's 1533-position model. The record is from RNAcentral.
UGCAAGUCGAACGGUAACNUUUCUAGCUUGCUAGAAGAUGACGAGUGNCGNNNNGGUGAGUAAUGCUUGGGAACUUGCCUUUGCGAGGGGGAUAACAGUUGGAAACGACUGCUAAUACCGCAUAAUGUCUACGGACCAAACGGGGCUUAGGCUCCGGCGCAAAGAGAGGCCCAAGUGAGAUUAGCUAGUUGGUAAGGUAACGGCUUACCAAGGCGGCGAUCUCUAGCUGUUCUGAGAGGAAGAUCAGCCACACUGGGACUGAGACACGGCCCAGACUCCUACGGGAGGCAGCAGUGGGGAAUAUUGCACAAUGGGGGGAACCCUGAUGCAGCCAUGCCGCGUGUGUGAAGAAGGCCUUCGGGUUGUAAAGCACUUUCAGUUGUGAGGAAAAGUUAGUAGUUAAUACCUGCUAGCCGUGACGUUAACAACAGAAGAAGCACCGGCUAACUCCGUGCCAGCAGCCGCGGUAAUACGGAGGGUGCGAGCGUUAAUCGGAAUUACUGGGCGUAAAGCGCACGCAGGCGGUUUGUUAAGCUAGAUGUGAAAGCCCCGGGCUCAACCUGGGAUGGUCAUUUAGAACUGGCAGACUAGAGUCUUGGAGAGGGGAGUGGAAUUCCAGGUGUAGCGGUGAAAUGCGUANAUAUCUGGAGGAACAUCAGUGGCGAANGCGACUCCCUGGCCAAAGACUGACGCUCAUGUGCGAAAGUGUGGGUAGCGAACAGGAUUAGAUNCCCUGGUAGNCCACACCGUAAACGCUGUCUACUAGCUGUGUGUGUCUUUAANACNUGCGUAGCGAANCUAACGCGCUNANUAGACCGCCNGGGGAGUACNGCCGCANGNNNAAAACUNNAAUGAANNGACGGGGGCCCNCACAAGCGGNGGANCNUGUGGUUUAANUCGNUGCANCNCNNA